This 433-nucleotide ribosomal RNA is filed under the name uncultured bacterium. Its description in RNAcentral is "partial 16S ribosomal RNA". It matches the Rfam family "Bacterial small subunit ribosomal RNA", at positions 29 to 507 of the family's 1533-position model. The record is from RNAcentral.
AACGAACGCUGGCGGCAUGCCUAACACAUGCAAGUCGAACGAGACCUUCGGGUCUAGUGGCGCAGGGGUGCGUAACGCGUGGGAACCUGCCCGUAGGUUCGGAAUAAAUCCCCGAAAGGGGUGCUAAUACCGGAUAAUGUCUUCGGACCAAAGAUGUAUCGCCUUUGGAUGGGCCCGCGUUGGAUUAGCUAGUUGGUAGGGUAAAAGCCUACCAAGGCGACGAUCCAUAGCUGGUCUGAGAGGAUGAUCAGGCACACUGGGACUGAGUCACGGCCCAGACUCCUACGGGAGGCAGCAGUGGGGAAUAUUGGACAAUGGGCGAAAGCCUGAUACAGCAAUGCCGCGUGAGUGAUGAAGGCCUUAGGGUUGUAAAGCUCUUUUACCCGGGAUGAUAAUGACAGUACCGGGAGAAUAAGCUCCGGCUAACUACGUG